UGCGUAGGUGGCCAUUUAAGUCUUUGGUGUAAGUUCAGCGCUCAACGCUGUGAUGCUAAAGAAACUGGGAGGCUUGAGUGUGGUAGAGGCAAGUGGAAUUCCAUGUGUAGCGGUAAAAUGCGUAAAUAUAUGGAGGAACACCGGUGGCGAAGGCGGCUUGCUGGGCCACAACUGACACUGAGGCACGAAAGCGUGGGGAGCAAACA
RNAcentral lists this ribosomal RNA (206 nucleotides) under uncultured bacterium. RNAcentral's name for it is "partial 16S ribosomal RNA". It matches the Rfam family "Bacterial small subunit ribosomal RNA", at positions 568 to 774 of the family's 1533-position model. The record is from RNAcentral.